GAGUUUGAUCCUGGCUCAGGAUGAACGCUGGCGGCGUGCCUAACACAUGCAAGUCGAGCGGGAAGGGAAGAGGCGGAGGCCUCGGCCAAAGUUUCUUCCCGGAUAGCGGCGGACGGGUGAGUAACGCGUGGGUAACCUGCCUUCUACAGAGGGAUAGCCGCUGGAAACGGUGAUUAAUACCUCAUGACACUGCCGGGGCGCAUGCUCUGACAGUCAAAGAUUUUAUCGGUAGAAGAUGGACCCGCGUCUGAUUAGCUGGUUGGUGAGGUAACGGCUCACCAAGGCGACGAUCAGUAGCCGGCCUGAGAGGGUGAACGGCCACACUGGAACUGAGACACGGUCCAGACUCCUACGGGAGACAGCAGUGGGGAAUAUUCGGCAAUGGGGGGAACCCUGACCGAGCAACGCCGCGUGAAUGAUGAAGGCCUUCGGGUUGUAAAGUUCUGUCAUUCGGGAAGAUCGUGACG
This 467-nucleotide ribosomal RNA is filed under the name Peptostreptococcaceae bacterium canine oral taxon 105. RNAcentral's name for it is "bacterial SSU rRNA". It matches the Rfam family "Bacterial small subunit ribosomal RNA", at positions 9 to 456 of the family's 1533-position model. The record is from RNAcentral. Lineage: Bacteria; Bacillati; Bacillota; Clostridia; Peptostreptococcales; Peptostreptococcaceae.